CUUUUGAAUUCUGGAAUCUCCAAUUCGAAAUUGUAUUGUUUCUCUGCUGUGAAUUGGAAUAGACAGGUAAUACAAGGCCAGGUGAACUGUAUCAAGAUGGAAUUUUUAUUAAUUUGGCAUGUUUGCAAAAUGCUUUUAGUCUGGAUGGCAAUCAAAGCUCUGAGAUUUGAACUGAUGUCAAACCCUUAGGACAACUUCUUGGUGUUACCACAUGCAUGAUGACUGCAGAAAGCUCCAAAAAUCUACCAAAUAUCAUGUAUUCAGUGAAUUUGGAAUACCCAAAGCAUUCUUUUGAUUCUCCAGUGAAGUAGCUAGAAAAGAAAGGUUCUCAAAGAAAGAUACUUGAAUGUCUUCGAUGUCGGCAAUGCUGAAGAGCAGCCAUGUGAAAUGCAUGAACAGAGGAGUGGUUUUCAGAUGGUAUUUCAUCCAGAACUGCAUCCUAGAAGCAUUAAGUGCUAUAAAGGAUUGGAGGCCUGAUCCUCUGGCAUGGGUUACCCAGAGAGCUGCGGACGUCUCACCUCUGGAG
This 526-nucleotide long non-coding RNA is filed under the name Coturnix japonica (Japanese quail). RNAcentral's name for it is "lncRNA (ENSCJPG00005003169.1)". The record is from RNAcentral. Lineage: Eukaryota; Metazoa; Chordata; Aves; Galliformes; Phasianidae.